Molecule: ribosomal RNA, 466 nt
Filed under: uncultured bacterium
Lineage: Bacteria
Description: SSU rRNA
Rfam family: Bacterial small subunit ribosomal RNA
Source: RNAcentral
AGAAUCAACGCUGGCGGCGUGCCUAACACAUGCAAGUCGCACGAGAAAGGGACUUCGGUCCUGAGUACAGUGGCGCACGGGUGAGUAACACGUGAAUUAUCUACCUCCGAGUGGGGAAUAACUGAGAGAAAUCUUAGCUAAUACCGCAUAACACUUACGAGUCAAAGCAGCAAUGCGCUUGGAGAGGAGUUCGCGGCAGAUUAGUUAGUUGGCGGGGUAAUGGCCCACCAAGACGAUGAUCUGUAUCCGGCCUGAGAGGGCGCACGGACACACUGGAACUGAAACACGGUCCAGACUCCUACGGGAGGCAGCAGUGGGGAAUUUUUGCGCAAUGGGGGAAACCCUGACGCAGCAACGCCGCGUGGAGGAUGAAAUAUCUUGGUAUGUAAACUCCUUUCGAUGGGGAAGAUAAUGACGGUACCCAUAGAAGAAGCCCCGGCUAACUUCGCGCCAGCAGCCGCGGUAA